CUCAUGCGUGCGUGCUGGCCUGUUGGGCUUCAGUUGUUUUGGGUUAUGGGCUUUUACUGGGUUGCGGAGGAGUGCCGCCGGAGGAAGUCGUCGGCGGCGGCGUUCAACCGCAAGGGGUGGCGGCAGGUCAUGGAGGGCGGCCAGCUGCCGGCGAGCAGCUCUGAGAAGAGGGAGGUAAGCUGCGGGGAGCACCGGGAGGAAGGAGAGAGUAGUCGGGAAAGGAGGAUGGCGAAGCGUUUCCGUCGGGUCCGCCACCAGCAAUUGCUCGUCGGAGAGGCCGGAAUCAGUUGUCAACGUCGGUCGGGUGGAAGGUACGUUAUUUGGUCAGUGUUCGUAUGAGACAUCAACGGAUGGCCGCAUCUACUUCAACCAGGGCUGGAAGGAGUUCCUCAUUGGGACUGGUCUUGGGGUUGGCACAACUGUGCUAAUCACCAUGAAGACCAAUGUGCUCAAUGAACUAAACAUGAUGGUUGCCCUUGACACCAUCUAAGUACCAGUUGAGGUCAAUAAGCGGAGUCAUAGCAGUAAUUGGGGUACUUAGCCUCUAAGUAGGUAUCAACUAUCAACCAUAUGUAAUCGGCCUCGAGUCCUGAACUAGUUUGAACGUGUGUUGUUGAUGUGUCGCAACUUUUAUCAUUCCCGCAAGUGAACCAUACAUAUAUAUGUAUGUGCUUGUGCA
Molecule: long non-coding RNA, 679 nt
Organism: Triticum aestivum (bread wheat)
Lineage: Eukaryota; Viridiplantae; Streptophyta; Magnoliopsida; Poales; Poaceae
Exons: 2
Source: RefSeq, a predicted model, not a curated record